UCACUUAAAUCACAUAUCAAGUUGGUACCGACAACUCAAAUCGGUCAGCUAGGUCCCGGCCCCUCCCUUCUGGGGGAAGGGCGUGGCUUCGCCGUGGUCACGUGUUUCGCGGUGCGGUCGCUUACCCUCUACACUUCUGAAAAUUCCCGCGACUUCUUUGAAUUACCUCUACUCCACCCAAAUUUCAGCCUUCCUUCGUCUCGUUUCGUGUUCUGUUCUGCGUUUCUUCUUCUUCUUCUCUUCUUAGAUCUGCUGCUGCUCUUCUUAGCUAGCUCUGUCUAGUUAAGUUUGAGGUUGGAUUUUGGAGAAUUUAUUGUUUGUCAAUUUCAAUUGUCAAAUUGUCAUACAAAUUUGUAUUUUAGGUGUGUAUUUUCAAUUUAGGCCUAAGUUACAACAACUACUACAGUUAAAAGAACCAUUUUUGUCAUCACAAAAUUGAAAGGAGAUGGAUGCACCCUCCUUCAGAAGGCGCUGAAAGGAAUACUAAUUAUAGGCCGCUGUACUCCGUAAAAGAACUUAAGGAAGAGCACCUAGUGAGAUAAGUGUAUGUCUGCCAUUUCAUCCGUUAAACAGCCAGGUUUUUGAAGGAAGAAAGAUGUAGCCCCAGCUCUGGACAAAAAUAUUAUGGAGAAGGUUGGCCGCUGUAGAGGGCAGCUAUAGUUAUCAUUAUAUGUUGCCUUUUAUUGUUAUGUACUGUUUUUAUACUUCACCAAUAAACCUUAUAUUUAUCUAUAGCA
This is a long non-coding RNA of Macrosteles quadrilineatus (aster leafhopper), 737 nucleotides long. RefSeq lists it as uncharacterized. NCBI's taxonomy places the organism in Eukaryota, Metazoa, Arthropoda, Insecta, Hemiptera, Cicadellidae. The record is from RefSeq and is a predicted model, not a curated record. The transcript has 3 exons.